Molecule: ribosomal RNA, 296 nt
Filed under: uncultured Thermus sp.
Lineage: Bacteria; Thermotogati; Deinococcota; Deinococci; Thermales; Thermaceae
Description: partial 16S ribosomal RNA
Rfam family: Bacterial small subunit ribosomal RNA
Source: RNAcentral
CCCGCAACGAGCGCAACCCCCGCCGUUAGUUGCCAGCGGUUCGGCCGGGCACGUCUAACGGGACUGCCCGCGAAAGCGGGAGGAAGAGGGGACGACGUCUGGUCAGCAUGGCCCUUACGGCCUGGGCGACACACGUGCUACAAUGCCCACUACAAAGCGAUGCCACCCGGCAACGGGGAGCUAAUCGCAAAAAGGUGGGCCCAGUUCGGAUUGGGGUCUGCAACCCGACCCCAUGAAGCCGGAAUCGCUAGUAAUCGCGGAUCAGCCAUGCCGCGGUGAAUACGUUCCCGGGCCUU